ACCAGCAUAGCCAAGUGGCAAGGCAUCGGUACCGACAUCAGAGGUUCGAAUCCUCUUGCUGGUA
This 64-nucleotide transfer RNA is filed under the name candidate division TM6 bacterium Zodletone_IIa. It matches the Rfam family "tRNA". From Rfam's summary of the family: Transfer RNA (tRNA) molecules are approximately 80 nucleotides in length. Their secondary structure includes four short double-helical elements and three loops (D, anti-codon, and T loops). Further hydrogen bonds mediate the characteristic L-shaped molecular structure. tRNAs have two regions of fundamental functional importance: the anti-codon, which is responsible for specific mRNA codon recognition, and the 3' end, to which the tRNAs corresponding amino acid is attached (by aminoacyl-tRNA synthetases). tRNAs cope with the degeneracy of the genetic code in two manners: having more than one tRNA (with a specific anti-codon) for a particular amino acid; and 'wobble' base-pairing, i.e. permitting non-standard base-pairing at the 3rd anti-codon position. The record is from Rfam by way of RNAcentral.